This 1339-nucleotide unclassified non-coding RNA is filed under the name Leishmania donovani. Its description in RNAcentral is "gene:LdHU3.11.1710(CDS-product:SH3_domain/Variant _SH3_domain_containing_protein_putative)". The record is from RNAcentral. Lineage: Eukaryota; Euglenozoa; Kinetoplastea; Trypanosomatida; Trypanosomatidae.
AAUAAUGGCAACAGCUCACCUGCCCAGCCUCGCGUCUUCUCUACGCGUAGAACACCUCCGCCUCGUCUCCCUACUUCUCUUCCCCAGCGCAGCUCAAUGGUGCAGCCGGAGCAACAUAUUGUCUACGCCAUUCACGAGUAUGCGAUUCCCGGCAGCGGCUUUUUGCGGCUAAAGGCGGGGGACGUCAUGUACGUCGAUGAGGCCGACGCAAGCGGUUGGUGGCUGGGCACAAACCUCCGCGGGCAAAAAGGCGUGUUCCCCUCCACAUACACGCUCCCCUAUGUCUUUCCCCCUCCCGCAGAGGACAUUCUGCGAGAUAUGCGGCUGAUUCUUCUGGGCCGCCGGUUUGGGGUGGAUGUGGCUAGCGGAGCCCCCCUUCCACUGCUCGAGCGCUUUGAGGCACACGUCUGCGAUGCCGAUACGCCCCUGCCACCGCUUGCCCUUUUACGCAAGACCGUCGACGAGUGCCUCCUCGGCCGCGAAGCGGCGCGCGCGCGUGUGAUGGAGCUGCUCUCACAGUUAAUGGAGAUCCGCGCAUGCGAGCGUGAGGAGCGAGAAAGGGGCACGAACAGUUUCGCAGCCGAGCAGCAACAGGUGGUGGAGCGCCAAACCGCCCUGAGAGAAAUGCGUGCAACACUGGAUGCAUCGUUGUAUGCGCUUGCGGCGCGCAAGGCCGCGCUGCUCCAAGCGUGCAUAGUGCCGACCUUCACGUGGUACGAGCGGCUCCACAGCUUGUCCGUGGCAGCGGCUUCAUCGGCCAAGUCGCUUUCCUCUGAUGGGGCAUGGCGUUCCGCUCUCCGGGAUGUGAAAGAGGUAGUGAAGCGUCAAGAGGAGGAGCUGACCCGCCUAUCCACGAGCUGCGCGCAGCAGGAGGAUGUCUUUGCGCGGGCUGCGUCGUUGCUGCAAGCGCGCAUUGAGUGGCGGGACGGAAAUGUCGCUCGCAUGCUGGCUUACUGGGUGGCCAAGGCACGCGCCGCCAAGACCGCAUACACGGCCACCAAGGUGGAGCGCGACGCUGCCGAAUCAAGGAGGCAGCUGGAGGUCGCGCAGCUUCGCCAUCGUCUGGAGGAUGGUCGCGAGCGAUUUCUGAAAACAAGAGAGCAGUACCGACAGCUUAAGCGACGCGCAGAAGAAAUUGCCGUGGCGUUGCAGCGAAAGGACUUACUCGACUACCUGUCGCGGCAGAUCGCGGGAGCUGACGUCGCCAUUGCGACGCAUCAAGAAAGGCAACGCCGUCACCCGGCCACUUUCGCAUAGAAAGACGGGAUCUAGUGAAGACAGAAACUCGAUUUCCUGCGGUCUAUUACAUCAUAGAUGCCUCGGGGCUACUUAACCACAC